UACAACCUCAACUCAUAUGGGAUUACCCCCUGAAUUUAAGCAUAUUAAUGAGGGGAGGAAAAGAAACUAAC
Molecule: ribosomal RNA, 71 nt
Filed under: Lucilia cuprina (Australian sheep blowfly)
Lineage: Eukaryota; Metazoa; Arthropoda; Insecta; Diptera; Calliphoridae
Description: partial 28S ribosomal RNA
Rfam family: Eukaryotic large subunit ribosomal RNA
Source: RNAcentral